RNAcentral lists this long non-coding RNA (1197 nucleotides) under Brassica napus (rape). RNAcentral describes it as "long non-coding RNA (BNAP_LNC014061)". Lineage: Eukaryota; Viridiplantae; Streptophyta; Magnoliopsida; Brassicales; Brassicaceae. The record is from RNAcentral.
UUCCCAAAGAACAUAUAGGUUCCGUAGCUUGAGAAUCCAAGAUUUUAAUGAUUUUGAGUAAAACUGUUGUUUUCUCGAUGCUCCCUCUUAUGAAAUUGUACUCUGUGCCCUCCUUAAAUUGUAGCCUCCACCAGAAAGUAAGAGAGAGAUUAGGAACAUGGGGACAGAAUCAAGUUUAAAAGCAGAACCAUUAAAGACUAACCUUAUAACUUGAAGUCCUAGACCAACUGAGGCAUCUUGUAUAUCAUUGAUAGCAUGCGAACACAGUAACCUUAAAUUUCUGUCUGCAUACUCCAGGGGUCAAGAAAAGCGAGUCAGCAUCAACAGAAGUUACAGAACAUAUAAUAUUAAGACAUAAAGAGCAAAAGAGGAGACGGGAAGACCAGCGGUAACUUACAUUUAAACUAUUCAUAAGUUACUUUGCAACUUGCGGAAGUAAUACAAAAAUCCCUUGUAAUUUUAAAUAAAUAAAUGAUUUAUUACAAAAAUAUGUUCUUCUUUUCAAAAUCGAUAAUAGGUUUGGGCUUUUCUAAAUAGGCUAUGAAAUCUAUAUUUUAUACUAAAUCCUACAGAUACAUUGGCCCAAGAAAACUGAACGCUUCAAAUUGGUCUAACAACUAUCUAGGAAAAGUCACUGGUAUAUCCCCAGCUUCAAACAACUACAUAUUUGAUAUGAACCAUUUCUCAAUCAAUCUUUUGCGAAAGAAAGAAUAUACCUCCAAGAGUGCUGCUCUGAAACUGGAUAACACUAUACAGGAAUAUAUUCAGCUACAGACCACCACGUAUUUCUUUCUCAAACAUUUCCAUUUGUAUAUUUUCCCUGCUCUCAUUUAAGUUUCAAUACAUGUCAAAUCAGAAAACGGCAUGUGCAAUAGGAAAAGAACUGAAGAAAAAAAAUGAUGAUAUAGCUCACCUUCCCAAAGAACAUAUAGGUUCCGUAGCUUGAGAAUCCAAGAUUUUAAUGAUUUUGAGUAAAACUGUUGUUUUCUCGAUGCUCCCUCUUAUGAAAUUGUACUCUGUGCCCUCCUUAAAUUGUAGCCUCCACCAGAAAGUAAGAGAGAGAUUAGGAACAUGGGGACAGAAUCAAGUUUAAAAGCAGAACCAUUAAAGACUAACCUUAUAACUUGAAGUCCUAGACCAACUGAGGCAUCUUGUAUAUCAUUGAUAGCAUGCGAACACAGUAACCUUAAAUUUCUG